AUGGGAGUGGAAAGGAUGUUUCCUGCAGGAAAAUUAAAUUUCCAGUCUGCAAAGACAUUAGGAUUUCUUUUCAAGACUAACAUUCCCCAAAAAAGUGGUAUUUCAACAUACAACCGCCAGGAUAAAGUGAGAAAAAAGAAAUUUUCCUGCUCUGAGUGCUUUAGGGAUGCUAUACAUACACAUAAAAAGAAGGAAAUAUUUUUUAAUAUUUUUUUCCUGUUUAUUUUUCUUUUUCUCCUUCUUUCCUUUCCAGAGGAGCGUGAUAGAAAAAUAACCAAGCUCUCAGCAGAAAUACGUAGGCUCACAGCUCUGCUUGGGGACCGAGACAAACAGCUUCGUAAGUGCCGUUCUCCUCCUGACGAAUAAAAUUUGGGUAUAAAGGUGGAUCUUCCUUAACUUUCUGGUGUGUCUUCUAAAGUCUGCCUUUCCUCCCUGACACCAGUUUGCUCAAAUUCUGUGUUUCUGUGCUCAAAAUCUUACGUCACUCUUAACUGGAUGAACUGGUUGAAACCACCCAAAUCAGUGGUUUUCCUCAUAGUUUUCUAUUCUGUUAGACUAUAUUUUUUUAUUACAUAUUUUUAUUAUACAUUAUGUCAUUCUUUUCUAAAACGACAUGUAAGAUUAAGCCAGAGAAUUACUUACAAUGACUCCACGUAGGAGAAAAAAGGAUCUAUU
This 675-nucleotide long non-coding RNA is filed under the name Anas zonorhyncha (Eastern spot-billed duck). RNAcentral's name for it is "lncRNA (ENSAZOG00000003613.1)". The record is from RNAcentral. Lineage: Eukaryota; Metazoa; Chordata; Aves; Anseriformes; Anatidae.